Molecule: unclassified non-coding RNA, 258 nt
Filed under: Hevea brasiliensis (rubber tree)
Lineage: Eukaryota; Viridiplantae; Streptophyta; Magnoliopsida; Malpighiales; Euphorbiaceae
Source: RNAcentral
GGUGGCAAUGAUUUACACUGCAAUUGAUAACUUCUACCUAACUGACGAGCAGUUACAGAACUCACCAUCUAGGAAAGAUGGAAUAGACGAAGCCACUGAAACUACCCUCAGAAUCUAUGGCUGUGAUCUGAUCCAAGAAAGCGGAAUUUUACUCAAAUUACCUCAAGCUGUGAUGGCCACUGGUCAAGUUCUAUUCCAUCGUUUCUAUUGCAAGAAGUCAUUUGCCCGAUUUGAUGUCAAGAAAGUUGCAGCUAGUUG